UACGUAGGGUGCGAGCGUUAAUCGGAAUUACUGGGCGUAAAGCGUGCGCAGACGGCCUGAUAAGUCAGAUGUGAAAUCCCCGAGCUCAACUUGGGAACUGCGUUUGAAACUAUCAAGCUAGAAUAUGUCAGAGGGGGGUAGAAUUCCACGUGUAGCAGUGAAAUGCGUAGAGAUGUGGAGGAAUACCAAUGGCGAAGGCAGCCCCCUGGGAUAAUAUUGACGCUCAUGCACGAAAGCGUGGGGAGCAAACAGGAUUAGAAACCCUGGUAGUCC
This 273-nucleotide ribosomal RNA is filed under the name uncultured Methylophilus sp. RNAcentral's name for it is "partial 16S ribosomal RNA". It matches the Rfam family "Bacterial small subunit ribosomal RNA", at positions 524 to 796 of the family's 1533-position model. The record is from RNAcentral. Lineage: Bacteria; Pseudomonadati; Pseudomonadota; Betaproteobacteria; Nitrosomonadales; Methylophilaceae.